This 504-nucleotide ribosomal RNA is filed under the name Hordeum marinum (seaside barley). Lineage: Eukaryota; Viridiplantae; Streptophyta; Magnoliopsida; Poales; Poaceae. The record is from RNAcentral.
GGAUCCCAUCAGAACUCCGAAGUUAAGCGUGCUUGGGCGAGAGUAGUACUAGGAUAGGUGUCCUCCGGGUAUGUCCUCGUGUUGCAUUCCCUUUUUCAUUUUUUUUGCUGCACGCGCGAAACCAAUGCGCAUGUCGCGUAAAUAUGGAACGCAUGUGCAGGGUAAAUAUUAACGCAGUUUCGUAUUUCUGACUUUUUGUGGUGAGUUGCAGCUUACGGAUCGAUAUUGACGUGUGUAGGGGCGGCGUUAUGGUGGGAGAGGCACCGCUCUUUGAAAGCGUUCGAAGGCGUGUCAAAACUCAUGGCAACGUGGCGAGGGAGAGGGACGUGUGAAAACUGUGGUAAACAUGGGAACGGUUGUUGAGGUGGAGACAAAGUAGUAUGGUGAAAUAUCCAUCGGCAGCAAGCAAUGUACGGUAGAGUUUGUAGUGGAGCUGGGAGGGGCGAGCAUAAGGGACGAAGGGAAGAAAUAUGUCGGAUGCGAUCAUACCAGCACUAAAGCACC